CUUUCCGGUAGGGGUACCUGCGGAGGGAUCAUUACCGAGUUAUACAACUCAUCACCCUGUGACAUACCUAAAACGUUGCUUCGGCGGGAACAGACGGCCCCGUAACACGGGCCGCCCCCGCCAGAGGACCCCUAACUCUGUUUUUAUAAUGUUUUUCUGAGUAAACAAGCAAAUAAAUUAAAACUUUCAACAACGGAUCUCUUGGCUCUGGCAUCGAUGAAGAACGCAGCGAAAUGCGAUAAGUAAUGUGAAUUGCAGAAUUCAGUGAAUCAUCGAAUCUUUGAACGCACAUUGCGCCCGCCAGUAUUCUGGCGGGCAUGCCUGUUCGAGCGUCAUUACAACCCUCAGGCCCCCGGGCCUGGCGUUGGGGAUCGGCGGAAGCCCCCUGCGGGCACACGCCGUCCCUCAAAUACAGUGGCGGUCCCGCCGCAGCUUCCAUUGCGUAGUAGCUAACACCUCGCAACUGGAGAGCGGCGCGGCCACGCCGUAAAACACCCAACUUCUGAAUGUUGACCUCGAAUCAGGUAGGAAUACCCGUUGAACU
Molecule: ribosomal RNA, 544 nt
Filed under: Fusarium sp.
Lineage: Eukaryota; Fungi; Ascomycota; Sordariomycetes; Hypocreales; Nectriaceae
Description: eukaryotic LSU rRNA
Rfam family: 5.8S ribosomal RNA (bases 182-335)
Source: RNAcentral